ACCAUCAAUCCCUAAUUUUUAAGCGACGCCUAUGAAAUAUUAGGUAAUGCCUAACAGGAAUUUCGUUUUCACCAACACAUAAGGGACACCUUGGACCUUAAGAGAUCACUUUAAAACAGGGGCCGGAUUUCCGGCCCCCUAGUGUUAGAUGACAGUUUUAAUGUCAAUUACGCGGCAAACGGCAAAUUGGAAACUUCGGAAAUGUCUGAAAUAAAUGAUUUUUUUGAAGCUAUUGAAGCUAUCGAAACCGUGGAAACACUUUUUCAAUCAAAUUUAUUAAGCCGACCACGUAUGUUUCGAGAAAGACCCGAUUUUUUCUCAAAAUACGACGAAAAAGAUUUUUUUACUAGAUAUCGGCUUUCAAAACAGAGUGUUUUAUUUGUAUUGGCAAAAAUUGAACAUCUGUUAGAGUAUCCAACUAACAGAAAUAAAUCCGUAUCACCAAUUUGCCAACUAUUGUGUGCAUUAAGAUUCUAUGCCACUGGGAACCAUUUAAUUGCAGUGGCAGACAUGGGUGGCAUAAGUGUUGCGACAUGUAGUAGGAUAGUGAAAAGAGUCUCUGAAGCCAUAGUUACAUUACGUCAUGAAUUUAUCAAGCUUCCUAAUACACACGAAGAACAAGCCUAUGUGAAAGAAAAAUUUUAUAGGAUUGCUCGCUUUCCUAAUGUGAUAGGCUGUAUAGACUGUACACAUAUAAAGAUACAAUCACCAGGUGGAGAUGAUGCUGAGUUAUUUCGCAACCGGAAAUCAUACAUGUCAAUCAAUGUUCAAACUAUAAGUGACCCUGAUCUAUUGGUAACAGAUAUUGUAGCUCGUUGGCCAGGAUCAACGCAUGAUUCAACAAUUUAUCAGACUAGUAAUAUAUUCAGGAAAUUCGAAAGGGGUAUUUAUAGUGGGGCAUAUUUAUUAGGAGACAGUGGAUAUCCUCUGAAGAGCCACCUUCUUACCCCUUAUUUAAACCCAUCAACUCCAGCACAACAAAAAUACAAUGAGGCUCAAAUAAAAACUAGAAAUGUGGUAGAAAGACAGUAUGGAGUUCUAAAACGAAGAUUUCCAGUCUUAGCAGUUGGUAUACGACUAAAACUACCCACCGCCGUCAAUGUCAUCAUAGCAUGCUGUAUUUUGCACAAUAUAUGCAUCCUACGGAAAGAACAAGAACCUUUAAACGAUGGAUCUAUUCCUAACUUAGAAUCCCUCAUUGAAGCUGGAAGAAUUCCCCUUAUACCAGUGACAGUCAAUGACCCCAUAUAUGGGUUUCAAAGAAACCAAAUAACUAAUUACUUUGAAAAUAUGUAACGUUUUAAUAUAAAUUAAAUUACCUCUUAUUUGUGCUAAA
Long non-coding RNA from Ostrinia nubilalis (European corn borer), 1336 nucleotides. RefSeq lists it as uncharacterized. Lineage: Eukaryota; Metazoa; Arthropoda; Insecta; Lepidoptera; Crambidae. The record is from RefSeq and is a predicted model, not a curated record. The transcript has 4 exons.